RNAcentral lists this ribosomal RNA (167 nucleotides) under Pyronotanthias lori (Lori's anthias). Its description in RNAcentral is "partial 12S ribosomal RNA". Lineage: Eukaryota; Metazoa; Chordata; Actinopteri; Perciformes; Anthiadidae. The record is from RNAcentral.
CACCGCGGUUAUACGGAGGACCCAAGUUGAUAGCCAACGGCGUAAAGCGUGGUUAAGAUAAAAACAAUAGUAAAGCCGAAAGCAAACUAAGCUGUUAUACGUACUCGAAAGUGUAAGCUCAAUUACGAAAGUAGCUUUAUAUUACUGACCCCACGAAAGCCAGGGCA